ACAGAAAUUACCUGGGGAUCUGGUUACACUGUAGCACUAGUUCAAAACUAUCUGAGCUUCUGUAUUUCUAACAAGCUCCCAGGUGAUGGCAAU
RNAcentral lists this microRNA precursor (93 nucleotides) under Marmota monax (woodchuck). The record is from RNAcentral. Lineage: Eukaryota; Metazoa; Chordata; Mammalia; Rodentia; Sciuridae.